Molecule: long non-coding RNA, 1201 nt
Filed under: Phascolarctos cinereus (koala)
Lineage: Eukaryota; Metazoa; Chordata; Mammalia; Diprotodontia; Phascolarctidae
Description: lncRNA (ENSPCIG00000037222.1)
Source: RNAcentral
AGGGCCUACAACAUUUUUAUCUAUAUAUCUCCAAUGUAUCAUGCCAUGCCUAUCAUAGGCACUUAAUGAAGGGUUUUUCAUUGAACUUUGAGAUUUUAAAAUGAUCUAGUCAGUUUUCAACCUCCUCUAUCUUAGUAAAUAACUUCACUGUCUAUUUUACUUGGGGGAAAAAAUGAAGCUAUUUUUGCCUUGAGCUAAAGCUCUCCAUGUCUUCCCUCAGCUUCUCUUCCUUCCCUCCACUCUCAGAGGAUGUAGCCAUCUUCCUUAUCAAAGCCAUUCCUUUCAUUUCUGCUGUUGCUCCCAACCUGUCUCAUCCCCUGGCCUCUGGGACCUUGCCAUCCUGACCAUUCCCUCUCCUAGUCUUUAAUUUCUCCUUUUCUGAUGGUUCCUUCCUCUCUUCCUACAAACAUGCUCCAGACUACCAUCCUUCGUCAUAACACAAAUAAGCAACCAACUUUUGCUAGACCCUGCUCCCCCCACUCAAGCUAUUAUCCUUUAUCUCUCCUCCCAGCCUUUGUUCAAUUUCUAGAAGGCAUGUUUAACAUUCGCUGCUUACAUAGCAUUUCUCCACUGUCUCUUAUCUGGCUUCAGUUCCUACUCCUCUACUGCAACUGCUCUAUGAUCACCAAUAACCUCUUAAUUGUCAAGUCUAAUGACCUUUUCUCAAUCACCAUCCCUCUGUUCCUUUCUAUAGCAUUUCACAUCAUUAGCCACCCCCACCUUCUUCACCCUUAUUUUCUUGCUUCCAUAACACAGAAACUCUCUCCUGCCUCUCCUCCUACCUAUCUGAUGAUGCCUCAAUUUCUUUCACUCACUGAUUCAUCUUUCUCAUCGUGCGCCAUAACAGUGGGUAUCCCCCAAAGUCCCAUUUUCAGCUCUCUUAUCUUUUCUCUCUCUAUUCUCUCAUUUGGUGAACUCAGCUACCCUCAAGCUAUGACCUAUAUAGUGAUGAUUUCCAAAUCUAUACAUUCAAUGAAAUCUCCAUCAUACUGUCCAUCUCCAUCGGGACAGUGCGCUAGUGCCCCAAACCCAACAUGUCCCAAACUCAGCUUCUUGGUUACCAAAAACCUACUCUUCAUCCCAACUAUCAGGAUGGCAACACCACUCUCUCAAUCCCCCAGCCUUAGUACCUUAAAAUCAUUUUUCACUCUUCAUUCCCUCUCACCUUUGACAAUCAGUUGAAAAGUGCUAUUCAUUCUAC